RNAcentral lists this ribosomal RNA (458 nucleotides) under uncultured bacterium. Its description in RNAcentral is "bacterial SSU rRNA". It matches the Rfam family "Bacterial small subunit ribosomal RNA", at positions 29 to 524 of the family's 1533-position model. The record is from RNAcentral.
AGCGAACGCUAGCGGCGGGCCUAACACAUGCAAGUCGAGCGCAUACCUUCGGGUAUGAGCGGCGGACGGGUGAGUAACGCGUAGGUCAUCUACCCUUUGGUGUGGGAUAACCCAGGGAAACUUGGGCUAAUACCGCACGAGGUCCACGGAUCAAAGCCUUCGGGCGCCAGAGGAUGAGCCUGCGUCGCAUUACCUAGUUGGCGGGGUAACGGCCCACCAAGGGGACGAUGCGUAGCUGGUCUGAGAGGAUGAUCAGCCACACUGGGACUGAGACACGGCCCAGACUCCUACGGGAGGCAGCAGUGGGGAAUAUUGCGCAAUGGGGGAAACCCUGACGCAGCCACGCCGCGUGGGUGAUGAAGGCCUUCGGGUUGUAAAGCCCUGUCGGGAGGGACGGAAUUCUUGACGGUACCUCCAAAGAAAGCACCGGCUAACUCCGUGCCAGCAGCCGCGGUAAU